UACGAGAGGCCCAAACGUUAAUCGGAAUUACUGGGCGUAAAGUGUGCGCAGGCGGCAGAGCAAAUCGAGUGUGAAAGCCCCGGGCUUAACUUGGGAAUUGCGCUCGAAACUACUUUGCUGGAGUGUGGCAGAGGAAGGUGGAAUUCCACGUGUAGCGGUGAAAUGCGUAGAGAUGUGGAGGAACACCAAUGGCGAAGGCAGCCUUCUGGGCCAACACUGACGCUCAUGCACGAAAGCGUGGGGAGCAAACAGG
This 253-nucleotide ribosomal RNA is filed under the name uncultured bacterium. Its description in RNAcentral is "partial 16S ribosomal RNA". It matches the Rfam family "Bacterial small subunit ribosomal RNA", at positions 524 to 776 of the family's 1533-position model. The record is from RNAcentral.